Oxyura jamaicensis (ruddy duck) is the source of this 1357-nucleotide long non-coding RNA. RefSeq lists it as uncharacterized. NCBI's taxonomy places the organism in Eukaryota, Metazoa, Chordata, Aves, Anseriformes, Anatidae. The record is from RefSeq and is a predicted model, not a curated record. The transcript is spliced from 3 exons.
CUGAAGACAGACCUGAAUAGCGAGGAACUUGAACAAAGAAAAUGACGAGAUCUGGAGCAGAAGGAUCAGGAAGUCUUCCCACCGCUAACACAGAAGCAUAAGGAUCAUGAGGUGGAACUCAACAGUGACAAAUAUAAAACAAAAUCAUAGGAAGAUACACCCACACAGGAACUAAUGAGUACACAGUCCUACAGCAGCUUUGCCAGACCUGCCUAAUUCUUUGUUCAGUAUCAUUCUUUAAGGAGGAAAAGAAAAAAAAUAACCAUAAUUUAAAGAGGCUGUGCAUAGCUUUUCUUUCCUAAUCACCUUUCCCUGAAACCUGAAAUUAUAGCCAUUAAAUGUAUUUAUUGUGCAUUUCCCCAACACCCACUUUUGUAUUUUGCAGUCUAGGAAAUCAUUGUGCUUUUUCCAGGGACUUCAUGUGAACUGCUUCCUUGGUAUCUUAAUGCCUGAAAAUAAAUGUUGACAAUAUUUACCUACUCCAGCUAGAUGUUACAAUAAGGAGGUUCAUAAAAAGAGCCAGUCUAAUGAUUGAGAAUUUGCCUUCUUCUAGUGCAUUUUGGCUUUGAGUUUAUCCAACAACUUCCUCAUAAAGUCUUUGUAAACACUGACAGCUGGAAUUGCCAUCUUAUGGUCAUUUUACCAGUACUUCCACGCUAUUAUUUGAGAAGAAAUUAAUGGCUGCUCUGUCAUUGACUUCAGAUAUUGCAAUAAUGCUACCCACAAGAAAUCUUUUCCACUUGCUUAUUACAUAGCCUGGAAGCCCUAACCAUACACCAGGACCUUAUUGUUCAGUGCCAGACAAAUGGCUAACUGGCUGGAUUCAACACCAAAAGUUAAAAAGUAAGAGACAACGAACAGCUACAAAGAAAAUGUGAUUAUAUUGGCCAGAAUGGAGAAAAUGUUCUCAUCACAUCAGCAGCUUAACUGAAGUCAAAUGAUAGAGGGACGGCAGGAAAGUUAAGUUUUUAAAUUUAUUUCAUUGUCUGUAACAUGGAAUAUCUUCCUAAGGCAGUCAUUUCAAUUUUCCUUAUUGAAGAGACAGAAGUAAAGAAUAUGUACCCUUAGAAAAGGCGCUGUUAAAAGGAUAUUGAAUAUGCAGUCAAAUGUCCAAGUGUAAAUGGGUUCUUCCUAUGCAGUUUUCUGAAUAUUCCAGCAAUUAUUGUUAGCUCCUUUUUUUCACAUCACUGUCUGCAAUCAGAGCUAUGCAAACAGAAGAAUGCUGUUCUCAUCUAUCUUCCUACAAAAGCAGAAAACAAGCUUGAUCAUCCACUAAACCAUCCUGAAUUUAAAUUGCAAAUGUGUAUUUGAUUGUCUGGUUUUGUUUUCUGAACAGAUAAAAUUCACUUAAACUUUG